UACGGAGGUGGCAAGCGUUGUCCGGAUUUACUGGGCGUAAAGGGCGUGCAGGCGGGUUGUUAAGUCUAGGGUGAAAGCUCCCGGCUCAACUGGGAGAGGUCCUUGGAUACUGGCAGACUUGAGGGAGGCAGAGGAAAGUGGAAUUCCCGGUGUAGUGGUGAUAUGCGUAGAUAUCGGGAGGAACACCAGUGGCGAAGGCGGCUUUCUGGGCCUUACCUGACGCUGAGACGCGAAAGCGUGGGGAGCGAACCGG
This 253-nucleotide ribosomal RNA is filed under the name uncultured bacterium. RNAcentral's name for it is "partial 16S ribosomal RNA". It matches the Rfam family "Bacterial small subunit ribosomal RNA", at positions 524 to 776 of the family's 1533-position model. The record is from RNAcentral.